RNAcentral lists this ribosomal RNA (507 nucleotides) under uncultured bacterium. RNAcentral describes it as "bacterial SSU rRNA". It matches the Rfam family "Bacterial small subunit ribosomal RNA", at positions 33 to 518 of the family's 1533-position model. The record is from RNAcentral.
ACGCUGGCGGCGUGCUUAACACAUGCAAGUCGAACGCGAAAGGACUUCGGUCCUGAGUAAGUGGCGCACGGGUGAGUAACGCGUAGAUAACCUGUCUUCAUGUCUGGAAUAAUACGCCGAAAGGGGUACUAAUACCGGAUAUUCUUUGCUUUUUCAUAAGGUUAUGCAAGCAAAGGUGGCCUCUGCAUAUGCUACUGCAUGAAGAGGGGUCUGCGUACCAUUAGCUAGUAGGUGGGGUAAUGGCCUACCUAGGCGACGAUGGUUAGCGGGUCUGAGAGGAUGAUCCGCCACACUGGCACUGGAACGCGGGCCAGACUCCUACGGGAGGCAGCAGUGAGGAAUAUUGCGCAAUGGGGGAAACCCUGACGCAGCGACGCCGCGUGAGUGAAGGAAGGCCUUCGGGUCGUAAAGCUCUGUCAAGAGGAAAGAAGUGUACAAUGGCUAAUACCUGUUGUAUUUGACGGUACCUCUAAAGGAAGCACCGGCUAACUCCGUGCCAGCCGCAGC